This 1978-nucleotide long non-coding RNA is filed under the name Homo sapiens (human). RNAcentral's name for it is "long intergenic non-protein coding RNA 1278". Lineage: Eukaryota; Metazoa; Chordata; Mammalia; Primates; Hominidae. The record is from RNAcentral.
GGGGACGCUAGGUUCCGGAACCUGACCUGAGCUGGGGCCUGUGCUUCCAGCGGGUGGUGGGGGGCCUGGUGUGCUGGCAUCAAGUAAGCCGACUACCUCGGCAAAGGCUUAGGGACAAGAGACCAGCAGCCUGAACUGGCUGGGGCAUCCGGAAGGCUUAGAUCUUGUGGCCAAGAGUUCAGACCGUGGCGAAGUGGAGAGUGACAUGCAGUUGGAUGGCGGUGACUGCGUGGUAUGGAAGAAAAUUCAGCUGAAAUUUGCUAGAAAAUGAGUUGUUUUGGAAAGAGACUGUAGAGAAAGGCAAAUGGAAGAAGAAAGCUUCUGUGCCCCCACAGAUACCGACUGAAAAGUGUUAGCAUGAGCAAAAGUUCCUAUCUAAUAUUAUAUGCUUUCCUUUGCUCCCAGCAUUCCACAAUCACGGGCUACUUCAAUUCUGCCUGCUGAGCUGAUUUAAUAAUCUGGAAGAGGAUUAUUCUCCCCCAUCUGGAAGAGGAUUAUUCUCUAUAAUCCCAGUUAGAGACACAAUGACAUAAACAUCGCUGUCCUGCAACCCUGGUUCCAGUCUGGCAAGCAUUGUAGACCUGGCUGCUGAAGACUGACGGGGCCCAGGGUCCGCUGCCCCCACCGCCAUCACCACCUCGGAACCCAGGGUAACGCUGUCAGUCUUUGUUUAAAGGUGCCCCCUGGAAAAAAUGUAACAAUUCCCUCACCUGUGACUGGUACCUGACAGCCACCACACCGGGGCAGCAAUGGCUAACGGUUGACAAAGACAAUUUCUUUCUCUCUCCAAAACCAAACAGCCUUCAUCAACUCCCUAGCCAAGACUCCCUAUCAGGCCCUUACAGGUGCCGCUCUGGCUGGCAGUUACCCAAUUUGGGAAAACGAAAAUACCCUAUCAUGGCUACCUACCUUCACCUACAACUUCUGCCUGUCCACCCCCAGUCUCUUCUUUUUGUGUGAUACAAACUGAUAUCUUUGCCUACCAGCCAACUGGUCAGGAACUUGCACCCUGGUCUUUCAGGCUCCAACCAUCAACAUCCUACCCCCUAACCAAACUAUUCUAAUUUCUGUAGAAGCCUCUAUCUCCUCUUCACCCAUAAGAAAUAAAUGGGCUCUACAUCUCAUCACCCUGCUAACAGGAUUAGGCAUCACUGCUGCACUUGGCACUGGAAUAGCAGGCAUAACCACCUCAAUCACCUCAUACCAAACACUAUUCACAACCCUUUCUAACACCGUAGAAGAUAUGCACACUUCCAUUACCAGUCUCCAACGACAAUUAGACUUCCUCGUGGGAGUCAUCCUUCAAAACUGGAGAGUCCUGGACCUCCUAACCACUGAGAAAGGGGGUACCUGCAUAUACCUCCAGGAAGAAUGCUGUUUCUGUGUUAAUGAAUCUGGCAUUGUUCAUAUCGCAGUUCGUAGGCUUCAUGACAGGGCUGCAGAGCUUUGACAUCAAGUCGCUGACUCCUGGUGGCAAGGAUCAUCCCUUCUAAGAUGGAUACCCUGGGUUGCCCCCUUCCUAGGACCCCUGAUCUUCCUCUUCCUGUUACUAAUGAUUGGGCCAUGCAUAUUUAACCUUGUAUCCCGCUUCAUUUCCCAAAGGCUGAAUUGUUUUAUCCAGGCAAGCAUGCAAAAACACAUUGAUAAUAUAUUUCACCUUUGCCACGUCUAAUACCAGAGCCUACGAGGAAACCAUUCGGAAGCUCCAGAACCCAGGCCCUAAUCACAACGCCCCUAUCCAGCAGGAAGCAGCCAGAUGAUCAACGACGCCCUUUUUCCUUUUUAUACUAAAGUAAGAAAUAAGAAUGUUAGCCCAAACUGCACUAUUUUGCAGACCCCUACCAUUUUACAAACUGGUCAGAGUGGAAAAUUCCACCAGGGCCUGAGCUGUGAGAAACAUCCUGUCAGGCAGGUCCCAGGCCUAACCCCUGGCUGCACUAAAUUCCUUCAUUAUCAGCAGCCAAACACACCGCCCCCA